GCCCCGCUCUCUGCUGCUGUCCAGAUUUAUAAGAGCCACAGAUCUUCAGCACUGGUUUGGCACAAGACUUCCAGAGCAGGACAUGUAAGCCACAAUAUUUAGCCAGUAUCCAGGGCAGCUCACAGCUUUGCUCCUUGUGAGAUUUAACGAAGAUGAUGGUCUUAAAAUGGUUUUACCACAAGAAAACUUCCCCACAAGGAAUAUUGUGUCUUCCCCUGAGGCCUCACACUGCCAAUCUGAGGAGUUUACAACUAAAUGAUAUAUCCAGAGGGUUUACCACAGAUCAUGGGGAGACAAUACAGAGAAGAGCCAACAUAUAACUCUAAGGAUAGACUGAUGGACUACAAACCACACUGAAUUUAUCCUCACCUGAUGAAAGGUCUUGAGAUGGCCAGGACGGUCCGGAUGAACCACGUCGGGUGAGCAAUGAUGAGACA
Molecule: long non-coding RNA, 437 nt
Organism: Etheostoma spectabile (orangethroat darter)
Lineage: Eukaryota; Metazoa; Chordata; Actinopteri; Perciformes; Percidae
Exons: 3
Source: RefSeq, a predicted model, not a curated record